AAGGAACUAGAUUUUUCAUAAAUCUAGAAAUUAUCUUGCUAAUAGAUCAAUAUCUGGCUCUUACUUUCUGUCUGUGUGUGUUUCAAUGUUAAUGUAGUAAAAGUAAACACUUCAAAUGCACCCUUAUCUGAACAUGGCUGUGAGGAGUCGGUUUCAAAUGUUCUGGAUACACAGUGGGAAGAGGGAAAUUGGUCAGUCCUGAUGCAGUCCCUGGGAAAAACAAUGCCCUCCUAUUACCUAAAAAUUCGACAGUAUAAAGUAAGAAUUAGGAAGAGCCAGGACAGUUCUGCAACACCCCGAAAAAAG
RNAcentral lists this long non-coding RNA (306 nucleotides) under Homo sapiens (human). RNAcentral's name for it is "HSALNT0267756". Lineage: Eukaryota; Metazoa; Chordata; Mammalia; Primates; Hominidae. The record is from RNAcentral.